GCAGCUUCAGCUCUUGUUCAUUUGAUUUGGGAUUAAAAGUUGGAGAUUGGGAUCGUCGAGGAACAACCUGAAUGGAAAGAGAAGCUUUUGAUGUCUUGUAUCCAGACGAAGCUUCUCUUGUCCUAAAAUUGCAAACCAAAGACCACAACGAAAGUUAAUUUUUGCACAAAUAAUAUCGCAAUGCAAGACUCCAUUGUAGCUACAUAGCAUGGAUUCCAUAGAGAAAAACCAAAAUUAAGAGAAAGAGGAGAAGAAAGAAGGAGAAAAGGAGCUGCAAGUUGGCAGAAGCGUUCGUUCAGAAAGGGGAGAGUGCAGAGAAGAGCUUAAUGUCAUUUUAUGAUCUGUCUUUACUGAUAAAAAGAUAAAUUUUGCCUGUCUGUCUCAUGUCCUCCUCACGAGAAUGCCAUGGUCGGGUGGGUUCCUUACUCCUUACACUCGUGCUCUGCAGCGAAGAUGAAUUAAAUGGACUGGAGAUGAAGGAAAGCGUCAGUCUGUUAUGGAUAAUUGUUAUUUAUCUUUUUUUUUUAAUAAAUAUUUUGUCAAAUACUAUAUAAUCUUCUUAAGGGUUUGUUUGAUUGAUUUUUUAAGUAA
This is a long non-coding RNA of Dendrobium catenatum, 591 nucleotides long. RefSeq lists it as uncharacterized. The transcript has 2 exons. The record is from RefSeq and is a predicted model, not a curated record. NCBI's taxonomy places the organism in Eukaryota, Viridiplantae, Streptophyta, Magnoliopsida, Asparagales, Orchidaceae.